This is a non-coding RNA of Phascolarctos cinereus (koala), 276 nucleotides long. Lineage: Eukaryota; Metazoa; Chordata; Mammalia; Diprotodontia; Phascolarctidae. The record is from RefSeq and is a predicted model, not a curated record.
UAUGGAUCACCAUGGAAAACAAACUGAUCAUCUUGCUGAAACCUCUGAAAGAUCUAGUCGGCUUACCUGAGUACCUAAAGAGGCCGCCAUCAUUUCCACCCCCUCAACACUGAACUUCAAUGACUUUGGAGGACAAUACAGAUUACAUUUGUAGCAUGCAGGUCCUCAAACAGAGAGGGUGGCUGUCGUCAACAACUCAAGGCAGAACCAAUCAACUGACCUGAGAUGCAAAUAAAUCCAGAAGAGAAAAAAGCCUCAUUGUAUGAGGACAAGCUA